AAUAGAUACCCUGGUAGUCCACGCCGUAAACGAUGAGUGCUAAGUGUUAGAGGGUUUCCGCCCUUUAGUGCUGCAGCUAACGCAUUAAGCACUCCGCCUGGGGAGUACGGCCGCAAGGCUGAAACUCAAAGGAAUUGACGGGGGCCCGCACAAGCGGUGGAGCAUGUGGUUUAAUUCGAAGCAACGCGAAGAACCUUACCAGGUCUUGACAUCCUCUGCCAACCCUAGAGAUAGGGCGUUCCCCUUCGGGGGACAGAGUGACAGGUGGUGCAUGGUUGUCGUCAGCUCGUGUCGUGAGAUGUUGGGUUAAGUCCCGCAACGAGCGCAACCCUUGAUCUUAGUUGCCAGCAUUCAGUUGGGCACUCUAAGGUGACUGCCGGUGACAAACCGGAGGAAGGUGGGGAUGACGUCAAAUCAUCAUGCCCCUUAUGACCUGGGCUACACACGUGCUACAAUGGAUGGUACAAAGAGCAGCGAACCCGCGAGGGUAAGCCAAUCUCAUAAAGCCAUUCUCAGUUCGGAUUGU
Molecule: ribosomal RNA, 526 nt
Filed under: uncultured bacterium
Lineage: Bacteria
Description: bacterial SSU rRNA
Rfam family: Bacterial small subunit ribosomal RNA
Source: RNAcentral